UGAAGUUCAUUAGAGCUGGACUAUUAUUUCCCUGCCAGAAGUGUUUGGAGGGACAUUUUAGUAGGUUGCUUGCAAGUUGUAUAUUAUGUGAACUGUAUUGAGGUGGGGUGUACUAAUGACAUGUGGCCGUGAAGACUGUGGACAUUUUAAGGCCUUUGUUGUGUCGAUGAACACCCCCCACAUUCAUACCCUCUGCACUCAUCCACUAGAAAAUAAUACAGAUUAUUGCAAAUCCUAUGUUGAUGACUGGGUUCGUUCUUGUAUGAAGUUGCUGUUGAAUUGCUCUGCCAUUAUUAGUAUUAGUAUUAUUGUAUGAGGUAUUCUUGUUGGGGUUACCCCUGUGUUGUGAUGUGGGUUUUAUAUGGUGUGUAUUCUCUUUUCUCUCCACUGGCUAUCUGGUAAACAGGCUACACUCUAGGCAGUCUCUUCUGCUGAUGUGUGUGUGUCUGGUAGUGGUACUCUCUCUAUUCUACUGUUUUCCUUUCGGCAUGGUUAAUACCUGCCUGGCGCCCGAACAAAAUCUUUCUUUACCCUCUCUAAUAAAUACCGCUACAAGGUCACCAGUUUCCCCUGACUCAUCUUAGAGAGACUGGCAUCACUUAAAGAUGUGCUACAUGAUUAGGAUUAACCAGUUUCCCCUGACUCAUCUUAGAGAGACUGGCAUCACUUAAAGAUGUGCUACAUGAUUAGGAUUAACCAGUUUCCCCUGACUCAUUUUAGAGAGGCUGGCAUCACUUAAAGAUGUGCUACAUGAUUAGGAUUAACCAGUUUCCCCUGACUCAUCUUAGAGAGACUGGCAUCACUUAAAGAUGUGCUACAUGAUUAGGAUUAACCAGUUUCCCCUGACUCAUCUUAGAGAGGCUGGCAUCACUUAAAGAAAGGAUACAAAAGUACCGGAGAAUCUCUUUAACCAUCUCAUUCACAGCUCCUCCUGUUAAAGUUAGAACAUUAAAGUGAAACUCUUCUCUCACUGUCAGCAGUUUCACUGACUGCCUGAUGGAUGAAUACUCAUAACAAUUAUCCAGUGUACGGCUGAGGGAUGGAAGGAUGGAGGAGUGAGAGUUGGAGAAGUGUAGAAACAGCCGACUAAUCGUCCUCUGACUGUGAAGGGUAUUAUCUAUAGGACACUCCCAGGCUGGCCCUCAAAUCCAAAUGAAUAAAGACAGACCACCGAACCUCUCCUCUCCGCCAUCUCUCCCUCCAUCUAUUCACCUUAAUAGAGGUCAGAGGUCAACAGAACUACAUAACAGCUGCACCUCUCCAGAAACGUUCCCUCUCAGCAUCGUAAACAAACGAAGAAGAACAAGGCAGAAAGAGCUGAAGUGCAGUAGUCCUCCCAUGUAAUGCCUCCUCCCUGUGUUCAUGUGUUCUGCCUUUGAGAGUGGGGACGCCAAAGGAAACAUCCAGGGAGAAGAAAGGGGAGAAAAGGGGAGGAAAGGGGAGAAAAGGGGAGAAAAGGGGAGGAAAGGGGAGGAAAGGGGAGAAAGUCAUUUGAACAUGUCAGUGGGGAGAUUAGAGGGUAAUCACAGAGAGGAAAGAGGAGCACUGACUCAACGAAAAAGAGGAAGUACACUAGAGAGAGAGAGAGAGAGAGAAAGAGAGCUGCCAGGGUUUUGUUCGGAUUGAGUAGGAGUGGUCUGGGUGUUUCUAGGUAAGUUAGCCCCAGAAUAAACAGCAGUGCUGGUCCCUGUGCCAGGCUUGGCUAAUGUCUUCUUAUUUUCAUACUGUUAUUUAGUGUCAUUGGGACAGCAGCAGGCCUCUAGAGAGGUGGGAUAUGGUAAUGGAGAAGGGUCUGGUUCAGUCCACGAAGUGUGUGUAUGUCUGUUAGCGAUGCGCGGGUUGACUCAUAACCUACAGUCCUCUCAGUUGUAUCCGUAGGGCGGG
This is a long non-coding RNA of Oncorhynchus tshawytscha (Chinook salmon), 1884 nucleotides long. Lineage: Eukaryota; Metazoa; Chordata; Actinopteri; Salmoniformes; Salmonidae. The record is from Ensembl.